UGGGGAAUAUUGCACAAUGGAGGAAACUCUGAUGCAGCGACGCCGCGUGAGGGAAGAAGAUUUUCGGAUUGUAAACCUCUGUCUUCGGGGACGAAGUAUGACGGUACCCGAGGAGGAAGCCACGGCUAACUACGUGCCAGCAGCCGCGGUAAUACGUAGGUGGCAAGCGUUGUCCGGAAUUACUGGGUGUAAAGGGAGCGCAGGCGGGUUUGCAAGUUGGAUGUUUAAACUAUGGGCUCAACCCAUAGGUGCAUUCAAAACUGCAGAUCUUGAGUGGUGCAGAGGCAGGCGGAAUUCCCGGUGUAGCGGUGGAAUGCGUAGAUAUCGGGAGGAACACCAGUGGCGAAGGCGGCCUGCUGGGCACUAACUGACGCUGAGGCUCGAAAGCAUGGGUAGCAAA
Molecule: ribosomal RNA, 400 nt
Filed under: uncultured bacterium
Lineage: Bacteria
Description: bacterial SSU rRNA
Rfam family: Bacterial small subunit ribosomal RNA
Source: RNAcentral